CAGAGGACCGCCUCGCUGGCCUACUGUCUCCGCCCCCACGGCGCCGGAAUCCCAGCUCCACUUACCAGGCCGCGGCUACCCCGUCGCCCCCGCCACUCCCGCCACCCCGCUCUCCCAGGCUCUUCAGGAUCCAAGUUUGUAGGCCCUUUAAGGGGUCUAGUUGCCCUUUGCGGGGCCCUGGGACUUUGGUCCCAGACAGGGGGGAUCCGGAUGGCUUCCGUGCGGAUCCGAGAGGCCAAGGAGGGAGACUGUGGGGAUAUCCUGAGGUUGAUUCGGGUGAAGACUGUGGGCCGGAAACCAGGGGGUCAGAGUGGCGCGGCCAGGACGGGGACGCAGGAGGCGGGGGCAGGGGAGGGGCUCGCCUUGGGACCCCGCUCGGGGAGCAGCGGGGCCCUUCUGCUCUAAUCUAGCUUCCGUACCCACGCCUUAGGAACUAGCCGAGUUCGAAAAACUCUCGGAUCAGGUGAAGAUCAGUGAGGAAGGUGGGGGCUCAGCGCCCAGGUUCUGGCGGAGGCUGGGGAGGAAAUAAGGGAUGGGUUCCCCAGGCGACAGCUCCAGGCUGGGCAUACACCCAGGUCCUCUUUCUCUAUCUCUUUGUUACAACUCCAAUCUCGGCAGCCCUGAGAGCAGAUGGCUUUGGAGAGAAUCCUUUCUAUCACUGUUUGGUAGCAGAGAUUCUUCCAGCGCCCGGGGAGCUACUGGGGCCCUGCGUGGUGGGCUAUGGGAUAUACUAUUUCAUCUACAGUACAUGGAAGGGACGCACCAUUUAUCUGGAGGAUAUCUAUGUGAUGCCGGAAUAUC
RNAcentral lists this small RNA (801 nucleotides) under Pongo abelii (Sumatran orangutan). Its description in RNAcentral is "retained intron". Lineage: Eukaryota; Metazoa; Chordata; Mammalia; Primates; Hominidae. The record is from RNAcentral.